CCCCUAAAAAACCCCCCCUUUUUUAAGUUUUUUUUCCUCGCUCAGGACGAACGCUGGCGGCGUGCCUAAUACAUGCAAGUCGAACGAACUCUGGUAUUGAUUGGUGCUUGCAUCAUGAUUUACAUUUGAGUGAGUGGCGAACUGGUGAGUAACACGUGGGAAACCUGCCCAGAAGCGGGGGAUAACACCUGGAAACAGAUGCUAAUACCGCAUAACAACUUGGACCGCAUGGUCCGAGCUUGAAAGAUGGCUUCGGCUAUCACUUUUGGAUGGUCCCGCGGCGUAUUAGCUAGAUGGUGGGGUAACGGCUCACCAUGGCAAUGAUACGUAGCCGACCUGAGAGGGUAAUCGGCCACAUUGGGACUGAGACACGGCCCAAACUCCUACGGGAGGCAGCAGUAGGGAAUCUUCCACAAUGGACGAAAGUCUGAUGGAGCAACGCCGCGUGAGUGAAGAAGGGUUUCGGCUCGUAAAACUCUGUUGUUAAAGAAGAACAUAUCUGAGAGUAACUGUUCAGGUAUUGACGGUAUUUAACCAGAAAGCCACGGCUAACUACGUGCCAGCAGCCGCGGUAAUACGUAGGUGGCAAGCGUUGUCCGGAUUUAUUGGGCGUAAAGCGAGCGCAGGCGGUUUUUUAAGUCUGAUGUGAAAGCCUUCGGCUCAACCGAAGAAGUGCAUCGGAAACUGGGAAACUUGAGUGCAGAAGAGGACAGUGGAACUCCAUGUGUAGCGGUGAAAUGCGUAGAUAUAUGGAAGAACACCAGUGGCGAAGGCGGCUGUCUGGUCUGUAACUGACGCUGAGGCUCGAAAGUAUGGGUAGCAAACAGGAUUAGAUACCCUGGUAGUCCAUACCGUAAACGAUGAAUGCUAAGUGUUGGAGGGUUUCCGCCCUUCAGUGCUGCAGCUAACGCAUUAAGCAUCCGCCUGGGAAGACGGCCCCCU
RNAcentral lists this ribosomal RNA (942 nucleotides) under Lactiplantibacillus plantarum. RNAcentral's name for it is "bacterial SSU rRNA". It matches the Rfam family "Bacterial small subunit ribosomal RNA", at positions 1 to 890 of the family's 1533-position model. The record is from RNAcentral. Lineage: Bacteria; Bacillati; Bacillota; Bacilli; Lactobacillales; Lactobacillaceae.